CUGGCUCUGUUCCCCUUGAAAACAGGAAAUCAAUCUUGGCUGUGAAAGGGGCUCUCCUUGCAUCCUUAUCAAGAGAGCUGGGGAUUCAGUGCUGAGAAGCCUGCACAAACAAACCUCGCUAAUUUACUACCUUAAGCCUAAACUCUGCUUAAAUUCCUCAGUAACUACACAGUUCAGCCAUAAGAACACAAGAAGGAUAGAAAUGAGAUUUUCGCCCACCCCGGCAGUUUUGGGGAACCAGCCAGUAGACCUUACUGGCCAGAAAACUGCUUUCCCCCUGAGGCUGCUGCAGCUAAGAGAUCCUGGACUUCUGACACAGAACCUGCUGAAAAGGCAGACCAACUGGUAAGAUGUGUGGGAACCAUUAGAAGACUCUUCAGGUGGAGAUGGAUAGCAUGGAAGAUACAAGUUCACUGAGGCGUAAACAUUGUGGGCAUUUUGAACGGGAAAGAAUUUCCUGCAGAUGCGAAGGAAACAUGUCUUCCAGAUGGCAUAACGGCUUGAGCUGAAUAGUGAUUUUCAAAUCUUCUCUGACUCCUGAGCCAGGUUGUGUUUAGCUCCAUGAUGAAAGAUGCCAACUCCUCCUGAAGGGCACCCACAGCAUCAAGGCUGGAGACAGCAAGCACUGACAUUGCAGCAGAAUAUUGACAUCACCGUUGGAACAAAGGGUUUUGGAAAGCUUGUCUCAGAAGUGCCUCGGUACCCCUUCUGCUUCUGGUAUAAAACAAGUUAGCCCUGAGCUAACAUCUGCUGCCAAUCCUCCUCUUUUUUGCUGAGCAAGACUGGCCCUGAGCUAACAUCCGUGCCCAUCUUCCUCUAUUUUAUAUGUGGGAUGCCUGCCACAGCAUGACUUGACAAGUGGUGCGUAGGUCUGCACCCAGGAUCCGAACCAGCGAACCCCAGACCACCAAAGCAGAAUGUGCAAACUUAACCGCUGCGCCACCAGGCCAGCCCCACUGACAGCUGUUUUGAUUGGUCAACACCUAUACUGAAUCUAUUAUUAAAUAUUUUAAUACUGACUCUGUGUGUGUGUGUGUGUGUG
RNAcentral lists this long non-coding RNA (1042 nucleotides) under Equus caballus (horse). Its description in RNAcentral is "lncRNA (ENSECAG00000037948.3)". Lineage: Eukaryota; Metazoa; Chordata; Mammalia; Perissodactyla; Equidae. The record is from RNAcentral.